This 494-nucleotide ribosomal RNA is filed under the name uncultured bacterium. RNAcentral's name for it is "partial 16S ribosomal RNA". It matches the Rfam family "Bacterial small subunit ribosomal RNA", at positions 31 to 507 of the family's 1533-position model. The record is from RNAcentral.
GAACGCUGGCGGCGUGCCUAAUACAUGCAAGUCGAGCGAACAGACGAGGAGCUUGCUCCUCUGACGUUAGCGGCGGACGGGUGAGUAACACGUGGAUAACCUACCUAUAAGACUGGGAUAACUUCGGGAAACCGGAGCUAAUACCGGAUAAUAUAUUGAACCGCAUGGUUCAAUAGUGAAAGACGGUUUUGCUGUCACUUAUAGAUGGAUCCGCGCCGCAUUAGCUAGUUGGUAAGGUAACGGCUUACCAAGGCAACGAUGCGUAGCCGACCUGAGAGGGUGAUCGGCCACACUGGAACUGAGACACGGUCCAGACUCCUACGGGAGGCAGCAGUAGGGAAUCUUCCGCAAUGGGCGAAAGCCUGACGGAGCAACGCCGCGUGGGUGAUGAAGGUCUUCGGAUCGUAAAACUCUGUUAUUAGGGAAGAACAAAUGUGUAAGUAACUAUGCACGUCUUGACGGUACCUAAUCAGAAAGCCACGGCUAACUACGUG